Long non-coding RNA from Neopsephotus bourkii (Bourke's parrot), 995 nucleotides. RefSeq lists it as uncharacterized. The record is from RefSeq and is a predicted model, not a curated record. The transcript is spliced from 2 exons. Lineage: Eukaryota; Metazoa; Chordata; Aves; Psittaciformes; Psittacidae.
UGGUGGGUUUCAAAGGGAACAGGCUGGAUGUUUCUGAAUGUUCUUCAUGUCAGUGUCAUGGAUCAGUGUGAUUUUGUGUGGGUUUUUUUAUGUCUUAUAGUGAAAUGCACAUUGCUUUAACAGGCGUGUAUUUGAAAGGUGAUAAUGGGACCCAUUAUGAUUUCCUGAACAUAACUACAGUUCAAGAUCACUUUGUGUUUCCUUUCUGUAAUAGCAAUGUGAGAAAUAAAAGGAACAGUAAAAUGGUGCUUUGUUACUGCACUUACCUGCUUGGUACAUGUCUUUUAAUGGCAUUUGCUUUGAAUUCUGUCAAGAAUAAGCUGUAACUAUUUGUCAGCUUUCGAAAAGCAAUGUAAGUCUAGCAGAGCAAGGCAAAUUCAUGCAUCUUCUGUUGUUUUUUUACUGGAUUCUGAGAAAUCUAAAUUACUGUAUUAGAGAGUCAUUAUACCUAACUUUCAGCACCAAUAAAUUAGGCAUCUAAUCUAAACUACUCUCAUGUGCUCUCUCACCUUUAAGUGGUGAAUCACCCCUUCUAUCCAAGAAACUUAUUUUAGGAGGAUGAGUCAUUCUCCAGAAGUGGACACAUGCUUCCAGUGACUCUCAAGGAGGGUAAGCUUCAACUAGGGGGCUAACUGUCUCAAUUAAUCCCCUAGUCACAUCUCCGAAGCUGCAUGCAGAGAUGAAAAUGCCACCCUGCAAACCUCCAAAGCCAGCAUCAGCUAAAGUCAUAAUUACUUCAAUACACAGUGUUUUUUAAAGUAACACCUUCUGGAAGGAUUUUCUUCACUGGAGAGUUCAGAUGAAGAAUUAUCUGUUAAAUUUGACUGACCUUGUAAGUGCGAAUCCUUUCUGAAGCUUAGUAGGUAGAAAGGAGUAGAUGAGAGCUCUCUAACCCCAAACUGACAGGAUAUUCAUCAUAUCUGGAUUAGGUCCCCUGUCUACAAAGUACAGAAAAUGAUAUUAAUAUCGAAUUAUAUCCAGACUUGAUCUUCCAA